AAAUUGUAGGGACACAUGCUAACAGGCCUUUUCCGCCCCGCGGAAAAACCGACUCCUGCAAAAUAAGAGGCUACUUCCGGUGCGUAACAACCAUGCUUGUGCGGGGCACGCGCUGAGGCUAAAACCCUCCCUGAGAAACAAUGAGGCUUCUAAAAAAGGUUCCGGGCCCUCUGAGGCCGGGACAGCUCAAAAGGGCUUGGCUUUCCCCUCGCUCCAUCUCCCCGCGCUCGAUUCCAGAACUCAGCGCGGGUGAUUCAAUUAUUAUUGCACUCAAACGUGGGGCUUCCAAACCGUUCCCGAGAGCCUGUGGGCCACUGCUGAGGACCUGUGGAGAGGACAAUGCAUGAAGCUCCAGCCCUGCUUCCAUCAUAGCAGCUGGUUCUAUUUCACAUAUUCCAGCAACCUGAAGAAUGGAGAUCACUAUAUCCCCCAAUUGAACCGAUGAGAAAACUGAAGCUCAGAAGGUUCAAUGACUGGGUCAAGCCUCCACGGUUAGUAAGUGACAGAACGGGAUUCCUAGACGUGCUUAAGCACAGACCGACGAAUUGGGUGGAUGGGCCGGUAGCAGUGAGUGGGGAACUUAAAGCGGGAGGGGGACGAAGAAGGGACAUUUGGGACUUCAGGAAGUUGAAAUGAUCACUUCGGAAGCUGCUUAGGGGUGCAGUUGGGCGCGGUCCCAGGGCCCAGCCAGAACUGCAGUGUGCCACGCGGCUAUCUCUGUGGCCAAGGGAUUUUCCGCGCGCAGGGAGUGGGGCUUGCCAGGUGGGGGCGGCUGGUGGGGCGGGGCUUCCCUGGGCCCGCCCCUUGCCCAGGGGAGG
Molecule: long non-coding RNA, 818 nt
Filed under: Ursus maritimus (polar bear)
Lineage: Eukaryota; Metazoa; Chordata; Mammalia; Carnivora; Ursidae
Description: lncRNA (ENSUMAG00000001551.1)
Source: RNAcentral